ACAAUAUAGAGCUUGCAGCGACGGCUGUGCUCCCAUAAAGCGAUGGAAAUGUUUGCUUGGGGGGUUCGCUUCGAGGUGGCAGUUGAUCGCGCGACGCUGAAGACGACGGAUGCGUCGGUGCCAGUCGUCGCGCCACUCAAGGAGAAGGGUUCUCUCUCCCACCACUAAGCCCGGCGAGGUCCCGGGCGCGCACGAAGAGCGCGGCGGCGCCCCGUCGCAGCCGGCUGCGGGGAGCGCGCUUGUACACCGCCUGCACGUUGAGCGCCAGACGGGACCAGGCGCCGCCAGCCGCGCUCGCCUCGCGACCUACCACCU
Molecule: long non-coding RNA, 315 nt
Organism: Bombyx mori (domestic silkworm)
Lineage: Eukaryota; Metazoa; Arthropoda; Insecta; Lepidoptera; Bombycidae
Exons: 3
Source: RefSeq, a predicted model, not a curated record